UCGGCUCCCAUGAAGUUAAUCGUACCUUGGUGCUCCGUACUAUUAAGACAAAAAGUGAAACCCAACCAGGCAGUGAACGUGUUCUUAGUGUCGUACAGGUACAUCCCCUGAGCCCUGCCGACGGGCGGAGAGUGCAGGUUGUUGUCGAGGGUGAUCGGGUCAUCGAAUACGGCUAUGUUCCCGAAAUGGGACUCGCCGGCCAGGAUGGUCCGGUUGGAGCCCUCGGGAGCCGCCACGAUGGCCGCGGUGGCGUUGGCCUUGUUCUGGCCGUUGUAGAUGAUGUCGUGGAAGAAGAGUACUAGCUCCUUGCAUGGAGCGUGUUGCUUCUUCUUGGCUGAUGAAGAAGUUGAGGAAAGGUAGAUGAAGAAGAUGAAGAAGAGAGCAAUCUUGCUUCUUGAGAUAGUCAUUUUUGUCCAAGUACAAAGGAUAAUUUUUGAAGAGAAGUAGUUAUAAUUUCUCUUUGUGGGUAACAAGUUAUUGAUGGAUGGUCCUUAUAUAAGGUGGACUGGAAUUUUUAUUUAUUAAUUUUUGUUAUAAAAAGGAAUCUUUAUUUAUUUAUAAGUGCAUUGUGGUUUAGUUAUGUCUGCAACUUCGGUUUUCUCAACAUGUUCAUUGGAGAAAGCCUGUUAUUAUUGUUGUAAUGUUAUUAACAAAUGUGGUUUGAUUAUUUUAAGUAUUGAGGGUAAUUUAAUUGGAGGUGGAAUUGGUAGGAUUGGAAGGUUAAUUUGGGAUGUCCAAGUAAUUACGUUGGAUAUAAUUUUCAUGGUCAUGAAACUAUAUAUUUCAUUGGAUUUGGAAGUUUANNNNNNNNNNNNNNNNNNNNNNNNNNNNNNNCAAGUUGUUAAAAUUUCAUUUGAGAUAUAAAAAUUAUCAAAUCCGAUAAAUUUGGCCUUCAAUCUUCGUUCCAACGAAUUUCACGAUUCCGGCAGGAAUUAGAGACCGAUCAGGAGUGAAAACGUGGCCUAUAGAUUUGGGUAAGAGGAGUUUAUGAAAAAGUGAUAUGAAAAUAGGAAAUUAAUAAAUAUAUGUUACAUACACUUACACUAGACAGCUAGCGAUGCUCCAAAAUAAUGAUUUAAUGCAUAUGGAAAGGUAUAAAAUUUGAAAUGCACUGGAUUGCAUACGUAAAAAAAAAUAUUACUUAUCUCAAAUAUAUAGAAUUAAAAUUGUGUAAUAUUGAAAAUUUAAACUCAAAGAUGAAUUGUGCCGUUCAGAAUGUGCUCUCCGAGAUAGAUAAAUAAUAAAAAGCAUGCAUUUUGAAUAUCACAUAUCACAAAUAAUAUUGUAAAAGGUAAAUAAUCUGUUUUCAAAUUCAAAUGAAACAACAUGAAAUUAAUUUUAUGAUUCUUGAGCAUUGAUUCCAUUGUCGUAGUGUAUUAUUGGUAAACUAUAAACAAAAAUUCACCCGCCACGCCCGCCGGCAGCUAGCUGAGAUUGUAGAGUGUGACGUGCGGCGGGCGCUAUUGGUUGACUCAAAAUUGCUGUUUUGAAAACAUGUCCCAAUCAUCGUUAGAGUUUAUCAAAAUACUAGGAGAAAAGGUUACGAGAGAGUAUAGGGGUAGAGUUUGACUCCUUAUCCAUAUUGUAGUUGAUAUAUCAAACGAAAUGGGAGAUUUAUAUGCACUUUGUUAUAGUGGAUUAUAAAAUUCAUGAGUUGAUGAGGAAGACGUAAAUGAUAUAGUUUAUUUAUAUUUAUUGUGAAGGCAAUUAUAUAUUAUGUAGCUGGUUAUCGUGAAGACCAUAUAAAAUUCAUGUGAUACGUAUAUUUUUCGACUCAUCUUGUUUUUUUUAGAGUAGAACUAGAAUCUCGGUCAAUGCAAGAUAGAAUACAGGAAAAGAAACAGGUGUCCAUUUUUUGGAGUAUACUAGAUUCUAACCCGGAACCUCCGGGUAACCAGACACAUGCUCUACCACUACACCAACUCCAUUUGAAAAAAAUAUUUUUCGACUCAUCUUACCGGCCAUCUAAUUGGGUCUCUCCUAAGGUUAAUCACUUAAGCUCGCAAACCAUGGUACAUAUAUUUUAGUGCAUGCUUGAUAAGACUGUAUAGUCUAUUAGAAGUAACCCGUGCGCUAUACCGUGAAAAAAUGUUAUGGUAAAGAUUUUGAGAGUGUGUGUUAGAAAAUUAUGAAAAAAAUACUAUAAUGGGCAUGAGUGACGAUUAAACGAUCAUAUGAAAGUAGUCUAGUCGAGAAGAAAAGGAAUCAGAUAAGAGUUUGUGAAUUAUCAUCUCAAUUGGAAAACUGAAUUUCCGAAAAGCUAAAAGUAGAAUGAAUAAAAAAAAUGAGUCGUCUAAAAGAACAACUUAAGAAUGAAAAGAAAAUUGGUGAAAUGGAGAAGAGUUGAAUUAAAAUGACAAAAUAGAUACAAUGAAAAAGAGGUGCAUGAUGAGCAUGGUGAGCCUGACAGGAGGGAAUCUAACCUAAUCAGACUUACCAUGUUUAUUAUGCAAUAAUAAGUCUCAUUGUACUAUUAUAUGGUUAAUAGUAGCCAAACCUAACCUGAUUAGAUUAGUCUGCUUGUUAAACUCGCAAUCCCCUUAAGAAUUAGCCUCCAAACGGUCAAAUUAACGUUAGGCUUCAGUGAUUUUUGUCUGAAAUUGGAGGGAGAAUGUCAUCGAGCCGUGAAGAAUCUAGUCACCCACGACACUGUUCACGAACCGAGCCGAGCUGAAUUUCAUUGUGUUCAAACUUGAUUUGUUAAUUUUUAGCCGAACUCGAGGUAGAAAAUUUUGGCUUGUGUCGACCCCGAUCCUAGUUGAUUAAUGACCAUUGAUGAGUCAAACUCGAACUCAAAUUUGAACAUCACUCAUUAAUGCCCUCGAUGCGAGUCUAUUUUGAGCUAAAUUUGAAUCUUGGAUGCUAGAAAACAUCAACAAGUCAAACUAUCCUAAAAUUUAGAAGUGUCUACAUAUAUUUUAUUAUAUAUAAUAUUACUUACUAAUUGCAUUAUUAAAUUUACUAACAAAUCAUAUACUCGAAUUAAUAUUCGAAUGGACCCAUUUAGGGUGAAGAAGUUAACCACGAUAAUUGACAAAAGUUAAGAGUACUUAGUAAGCGAUAGUAAGAGUGUUCAAAAGGGUAUAUGUCGCUUUCCAAACACUACAAAAUCCAAGAAAUUAAAAUACCAUAUAAAACACAAACGAAAUCAUAUAAUAUUGUUCAAAUUCUUAACUAGAUUCUCAAGAGACACUUUCAUUUUGUGUACGUAACAGAUCCAUUACAUCUCAAGUAUCACAAAACAUCAUAUAAAAAAAAAGAAAACAACCACAUAAUCAAACAUAUUCGAAUCCAUUAACGGGUCUUCUCGAUUCCAAAGUGAUCUCAUCUUGAUCAUCACCAACAUUCGUAGAACUUCAUGUCAACUCGAAGCCUAAAGUAUACAUCACCUUCAUACGAGUCCGUCAUGAUGGUCGCCACCCCACGGUGCAUAAAGAAGUCGCCGGUCCCACCAACAAUCGACACAUCCCUAGUCUUGUUCAUAAGCGGGUCGGCUCCCAUGAAGUUAAUCGUACCUUGGUGCUCCGUACUAUUAAUACAAAAAGUGAAACCCAACCAGGCAGUGAACGUGUUCUUAGUGUCGUACAGGUACAUCCCCUGAGCCCUGCCGACGGGCGGAGAGUGCAGGUUGUUGUCGAGGGUGAUCGGGUCAUCGAAUACGGCUAUGUUCCCGAAAUGGGACUCGCCGGCCAGGAUGGUUCGGUUGGAGCCCUCGGGAGCCGCCACGAUGGCCGCGGUGGCGUUGGCCUUG
This 3751-nucleotide long non-coding RNA is filed under the name Linum usitatissimum (flax). RNAcentral describes it as "long non-coding RNA (LUSI_LNC005523)". Lineage: Eukaryota; Viridiplantae; Streptophyta; Magnoliopsida; Malpighiales; Linaceae. The record is from RNAcentral.